Molecule: ribosomal RNA, 253 nt
Filed under: uncultured bacterium
Lineage: Bacteria
Description: partial 16S ribosomal RNA
Rfam family: Bacterial small subunit ribosomal RNA
Source: RNAcentral
UACGAAGGGGGCUAGCGUUUUUCGGAAUCACUGGGCGUAAAGCGCACGUAGGCGGAUUGUUAAGUCAGGGGUGAAAUCCCGAGGCUCAACCUCGGAACUGCCUUUGAUACUGGCGAUCUAGAGUCCGGGAGAGGUGAGUGGAACUGCGAGUGUAGAGGUGAAAUUCGUAGAUAUUCGCAAGAACACCAGUGGCGAAGGCGGCUCACUGGCCCGGAACUGACGCUGAGGUGCGAAAGCGUGGGGAGCAAACAGG